UUGGUGGGGUAACGGCCUACCAAGGCGACGACGGGUAGCCGGCCUGAGAGGGCGACCGGCCACACUGGGACUGAGACACGGCCCAGACUCCUACGGGAGGCAGCAGUGGGGAAUAUUGCGCAAUGGGCGAAAGCCUGACGCAGCGACGCCGCGUGGGGGAUGAAGGCCUUCGGGUUGUAAACCCCUUUCGGCAGGGACGAAGCGAAAGUGACGGUACCUGCAGAAGAAGCGCCGGCUAACUACGUGCCAGCAGCCGCGGUAACACGUAGGGCGCAAGCGUUGUCCGGAAUCAUUGGGCGUAAAGAGCUCGUAGGUGGUUUGUCACGUCUGCUGUGAAAACUCGGGGCUUAACCCCGAGCUUGCAGUGGAUACGGGCAGACUAGAGGUAGGUAGGGGAGGAUGGAAUUCCCGGUGUAGCGGUGAAAUGCGCAGAUAUCGGGAGGAACACCGGUGGCGAAGGCGGUUCUCUGGGCCUUACCUGACACUGAGGAGCGAAAGCGUGGGGAGCGAACAGGAUUAGAUACCCUGGUAGUCCACGCCGUAAACGUUGGGCGCUAGGUGUGGGGUCCUUCCACGGAUUCCGUGCCGCAGCUAACGCAUUAAGCGCCCCGCCUGGGGAGUACGG
RNAcentral lists this ribosomal RNA (625 nucleotides) under uncultured bacterium. RNAcentral's name for it is "bacterial SSU rRNA". It matches the Rfam family "Bacterial small subunit ribosomal RNA", at positions 249 to 885 of the family's 1533-position model. The record is from RNAcentral.